CCCGCCGGACCUGACUGCUAUCGGAUUGAUACUAAGCCAUGCGAGUCAUUGUAGCAAUACAAGGCAGACGGCUCAUUAACGCGUAGUCAACCUAACCUAUGGACGGGAAUAACCUCGGGAAACUGAGAAUAAUGCCCGAUAGAACACUAUAUCUGGAAUGGUUUGUGUUCCAAAUGAUUUAUCGCCGUAGGAUGGGACUGCGGCCUAUCAGUUUGUUGGUGAGGUAAUGGCCCACCAAGACUAUUACAGGUACGGGCUCUGAGAGGAGUAGCCCGGAGAUGGGUACUGAGACACGGACCCAGGCCCUAUGGGGCGCAGCAGGCGAGAAAACUUUGCAAUGUGCGAAAGCACGACAAGGUUAAUCCGAGUGGUUUCUGCUAAAGGAACCUUUUGUCGGUCCUAGAAACACCGAUGAAUAAGGGGUGGGCAAGUUCUGGUGUCAGCCGCCGCGGUAAAACCAGCACCUCAAGUGGUCAGGAUGAUUAUUGGGCCUAAAGCAUCCGUAGCCUGCUUUGUUAGUUUUCGGUUAAAUCUAUACGCUCAACGUAUAGGCUGCCGGGAAUACUGCAAAGCUAGGGAGUGGGAGAGGUAGACGGUACUCGGUAGGAAGGGGUAAAAUCCUUUGAUCUAUUGAUGACCACCUGUGGCGAAGGCGGUCUACCAGAACACGUCCGACGGUGAGGGAUGAAAGCUGGGGGAGCAAACCGGAUUAGAUACCCGGGUAGUCCCAGCCGUAAACCAUGCAAACUCAGUGAUGCAUUGGCUUGUGGCCAAUGCAGUGCUGCAGGGAAGCCGUUAAGUUUGCCGCCUGGGAAGUACGUACGCAAGUAUGAAACUUAAAGGAAUUGGCGGGGGAGCACCACAA
Molecule: ribosomal RNA, 865 nt
Filed under: uncultured archaeon
Lineage: Archaea
Description: bacterial SSU rRNA
Rfam family: Archaeal small subunit ribosomal RNA
Source: RNAcentral